RNAcentral lists this ribosomal RNA (254 nucleotides) under uncultured bacterium. RNAcentral describes it as "partial 16S ribosomal RNA". It matches the Rfam family "Bacterial small subunit ribosomal RNA", at positions 524 to 776 of the family's 1533-position model. The record is from RNAcentral.
UACGUAGGGGGCAAGCGUUGUCCGGAUUCAUUGGGCGUAAAGAGCUCGUAGGCGGCUUGGCAAGUCGGGUGUGAAAACUUCAGGCUCAACCUGGAGCGGCCACUCGAUACUGCCAUGGCUAGAGUCCGGUAAGGGACCACGGAAUUCCUGGUGUAGCGGUGAAAUGCGCAGAUAUCAGGAGGAACACCGGUGGCGAAGGCGGUGGUCUGGGCCGGAACUGACGCUGAGGAGCGAAAGCGUGGGGAGCGAACAGG